AUUUUACACAAAUCUUUAUUUUACUGUUUAAAAUAAACCACAAUAACCCAAACAAUCAAAACACCAAAAACUAGAAUCCAAAAAAAAAAACGAAUCAUUAAUGAUCACAUCUCUUUUCGUCUAAUCUUACAAAUAAACUUCAAAACAAAUAUACCAAACCAAUCAACUCAACUAAAACUCAACGACACAUACAUUAUGCCAUCUAAACAAAUAUAAACUACACAACCAAAUAUUUAACAAUUUACAAACUUACUUUCACAGAUGCUUACGAAGAAGACAAAGACGACAACCAAGACCAC
This 299-nucleotide long non-coding RNA is filed under the name Brassica napus (rape). RNAcentral's name for it is "long non-coding RNA (BNAP_LNC016914)". Lineage: Eukaryota; Viridiplantae; Streptophyta; Magnoliopsida; Brassicales; Brassicaceae. The record is from RNAcentral.